RNAcentral lists this ribosomal RNA (517 nucleotides) under Bacillus sp. M10-C3. RNAcentral's name for it is "bacterial SSU rRNA". It matches the Rfam family "Bacterial small subunit ribosomal RNA", at positions 1 to 494 of the family's 1533-position model. Lineage: Bacteria; Bacillati; Bacillota; Bacilli; Caryophanales; Bacillaceae. The record is from RNAcentral.
UGAGCUUGAUCCUGGCUCAGGACGAACGCUGGCGGCGUGCCUAAUACAUGCAAGUCGAGCGCAGGAAGCCGGCGGAUCCCUUCGGGGUGAAGCCGGUGGAAUGAGCGGCGGACGGGUGAGUAACACGUGGGCAACCUACCUUGUAGACUGGGAUAACUCCGGGAAACCGGGGCUAAUACCGGAUGAUCAUUUGGAUCGCAUGAUCCGAAUGUAAAAGUGGGGAUUUAUCCUCACACUGCAAGAUGGGCCCGCGGCGCAUUAGCUAGUUGGUAAGGUAAUGGCUUACCAAGGCGACGAUGCGUAGCCGACCUGAGAGGGUGAUCGGCCACACUGGAACUGAGACACGGUCCAGACUCCUACGGGAGGCAGCAGUAGGGAAUCAUCCGCAAUGGGCGAAAGCCUGACGGUGCAACGCCGCGUGAACGAUGAAGGUUUUCGGAUCGUAAAGUUCUGUUAUGAGGGAAGAACAAGUGCCGUUCGAAUAGGUCGGCACCUUGACGGUACCUCACAAAGCCCG